AUUAUUUAUUGAAACGAGUGUGUUUCAGUAUAUACAAAAAUCAAAUUCAAAAGUACACUGAUCUUCUACUUUCUGCGGCAACAUUGUCCUUGCCCACAUGGAGAAUAGUUCGAUUGACAUGAACACUGGUUACUUUGUGGUGCCUGCUGGCAAGCGACAGUAGCUGGUUGAGCUGCUUGGCAAGAGCUUGAGCAUGAAGAUUGGCAAGCAGAUUGGCACUGUGCGACUGGCUGUUGUUGUUGAACACAUUGUUGUUGGCAAGACUGUUCACAUUGUGGAGCACAUUGCGAGGAUUGAGCAACAGAGGCUUGAAGCACAAUUUGAACCACUUGUGGAGCUGAAGUUGUGGUUGGAU
Caenorhabditis elegans is the source of this 355-nucleotide non-coding RNA. The record is from Ensembl. Lineage: Eukaryota; Metazoa; Nematoda; Chromadorea; Rhabditida; Rhabditidae.